GAUGAACGCUGACAGAAUGCUUAACACAUGCAAGUUUACUUGAAGCUAACUUCGGUUAGUGGAUGGUGGCGGACGGGUGAGUAACGCGUAAAGAACUUGCCUCACAGAUUGGGACAACAUUUGGAAACGAAUGCUAAUACCGGAUAUUAUGAUACUUCUGCAUGGAAGAAUCAUGAAAGCUAUAUGCGCUGUGAGAGAGCUUUGCGUCCCAUUACCUAGUUGGAGAGGUAACGGCUCACCAAGGCGAUGAUGGGUAGCCGGCCUGAGAGGGUGAACGGCCACAAGGGGACUGAGACACGGCCCUUACUCCUACGGGAGGCAGCAGUGGGGAAUAUUGGACAAUGGACCAAAAGUCUGAUCCAGCAAUUCUGUGUGCACGAUGAAGUUUUUCGGAAUGUAAAGUGCUUUCAGUUGGGAAGAAGCAAGUGACGGUACCAACAGAAGAAGCGACGGCUAAAUACGUGCCAGCAGCCGCGGUAAUACGUAUGUCGCAAGCGUUAUCCGGAUUUAUUGGGCGUAAAGCGCGUCUAGGUGGUUAUAUAAGUCUGAUGUGAAAAUGCGGGGCUCAACUCCGUAUUGCGUUGGAAACUGUAUGACUAGAGUACUGGAGAGGUAAGCGGAACUACAAGUGUAGAGGUGAAAUUCGUACAUAUUUGUAGGAAUGCCGAUGGGGAAGCCAGCUUACUGGACAGAUACUGACGCUAAAGCGCGAAAGCGUGGUAGCAAACAGG
RNAcentral lists this ribosomal RNA (731 nucleotides) under uncultured bacterium. RNAcentral's name for it is "bacterial SSU rRNA". It matches the Rfam family "Bacterial small subunit ribosomal RNA", at positions 28 to 776 of the family's 1533-position model. The record is from RNAcentral.